This 425-nucleotide ribosomal RNA is filed under the name uncultured bacterium. Its description in RNAcentral is "bacterial SSU rRNA". It matches the Rfam family "Bacterial small subunit ribosomal RNA", at positions 376 to 793 of the family's 1533-position model. The record is from RNAcentral.
CGCAAGCCUGAUGCAGCCAUGCCGCGUGUGUGAAGAAGGACCUUCGGGUGUAAAGCACUUUCAGUUGUGAGGAAGGUGGUGUCGUUAAUAGCGGCAUCAUUUGACGUUAGCAACAGAAGAAGCACCGGCUAACUCCGUGCCAGCAGCCGCGGUAAUACGGAGGGUGCGAGCGUUAAUCGGAAUUACUGGGCGUAAAGCGCAUGCAGGUGGUUUGUUAAGUCAGAUGUGAAAGCCCGGGGCUCAACCUCGGAACUGCAUUUGAAAACUGGCAGACUAGAGUACUGUAGAGGGGGUAGAAUUUCAGGUGUAGCGGUGAAAUGCGUAGAGAUCUGAAGGAAUACCGGUGGCGAAGGCGGCCCCCUGGACAGAUACUGACACUCAGAUGCGAAAGCGUGGGGAGCAAACAGGAUUAGAUAGCCUGGUAG